AGGCCACUGCUAUCGGAGUUCGAUUAAGCCAUGCGAGUCGAGAGGUGUAAGACCUCGGCAUACUGCUCAGUAACACGUGGACAACCUACCCUGAAGUGAGGGAUAACCCCGGGAAACUGGGGAUAAUACCUCAUAGACUAUGGAUGCUGGAAUGCUCUGUAGUUCAAAGGUCCGCCGCUUCAGGAUGGGUCUGCGGCCGAUUAGGUAGUUGUUGGGGUAACGGCCCAACAAGCCUGUAAUCGGUACGGGUUGUGGGAGCAAGAGCCCGGAGAUGGAUUCUGAGACACGAAUCCAGGCCCUACGGGGCGCAGCAGGCGCGAAAACUUUACAAUGCGAGCAAUCGUGAUAAGGGAACUCCGAGUGCCUGUAAAAUCAGGCUGUCCGCCAGUGUAAAUAACUGGUGAAGAAAGGGCCGGGCAAGACCGGUGCCAGCCGCCGCGGUAAUACCGGCGGCUCGAGUGGUGGCCACUAUUACUGGGCUUAAAGCGUUCGUAGCUGGUCUGUUAAGUCUCUGGGGAAAUCUUCCGGCUUAACCGGAAGGCGUCUCAGGGAUACUGGCAGACUAGGGACCGGAAGAGGUGAGAGGUACUUCAGGGGUAGGGGUGAAAUCCUGUAAUCCUUGAGGGACCACCUGUGGCGAAGGCGUCUCACCAGGACGGCUCCGACAGUGAGGAACGAAAGCUGGGGGAGCAAACCGGAUUAGAUACCCGGGUAGUCCCAGCUGUAAACGAUGCACGUCAGGUGUAUCGGUGACCACGAGUCACCGAGGUGCCGAAGAGAAAUCGUGAAACGUGCCGCCUGGGAAGUACGGUCGCAAGGCUGAAACUUAA
This 830-nucleotide ribosomal RNA is filed under the name uncultured archaeon. Its description in RNAcentral is "bacterial SSU rRNA". It matches the Rfam family "Archaeal small subunit ribosomal RNA", at positions 21 to 859 of the family's 1478-position model. The record is from RNAcentral.